This 754-nucleotide ribosomal RNA is filed under the name Pseudarthrobacter sp. RNAcentral describes it as "bacterial SSU rRNA". It matches the Rfam family "Bacterial small subunit ribosomal RNA", at positions 61 to 829 of the family's 1533-position model. The record is from RNAcentral. Lineage: Bacteria; Bacillati; Actinomycetota; Actinomycetes; Micrococcales; Micrococcaceae.
GUCGAACGAUGAUGCCAGCUUGCUGGUGGAUUAGUGGCGAACGGGUGAGUAACACGUGAGUAACCUGCCCUUAACUCUGGGAUAAGCCUGGGAAACUGGGUCUAAUACCGGAUAUGACCUUCCAUCGCAUGGUGGUUGGUGGAAAGCUUUUUGUGGUUUUGGAUGGACUCGCGGCCUAUCAGCUUGUUGGUGAGGUAAUGGCUUACCAAGGCGACGACGGGUAGCCGGCCUGAGAGGGUGACCGGCCACACUGGGACUGAGACACGGCCCAGACUCCUACGGGAGGCAGCAGUGGGGAAUAUUGCACAAUGGGCGCAAGCCUGAUGCAGCGACGCCGCGUGAGGGAUGACGGCCUUCGGGUUGUAAACCUCUUUCAGUAGGGAAGAAGCGAAAGUGACGGUACCUGCAGAAGAAGCGCCGGCUAACUACGUGCCAGCAGCCGCGGUAAUACGUAGGGCGCAAGCGUUAUCCGGAAUUAUUGGGCGUAAAGAGCUCGUAGGCGGUUUGUCGCGUCUGCCGUGAAAGUCCGGGGCUCAACUCCGGAUCUGCGGUGGGUACGGGCAGACUAGAGUGAUGUAGGGGAGACUGGAAUUCCUGGUGUAGCGGUGAAAUGCGCAGAUAUCAGGAGGAACACCGAUGGCGAAGGCAGGUCUCUGGGCAUUAACUGACGCUGAGGAGCGAAAGCAUGGGGAGCGAACAGGAUUAGAUACCCUGGUAGUCCAUGCCGUAAACGUUGGGCACUAGGUGUGGGGGA